Molecule: ribosomal RNA, 736 nt
Filed under: Paenibacillus rigui
Lineage: Bacteria; Bacillati; Bacillota; Bacilli; Caryophanales; Paenibacillaceae
Description: bacterial SSU rRNA
Rfam family: Bacterial small subunit ribosomal RNA
Source: RNAcentral
UCCUGGCUCAGGACGAACGCUGGCGGCGUGCCUAAUACAUGCAAGUCGAGCGGUCCCUUCGGGGAUAGCGGCGGACGGGUGAGUAACACGUAGGCAACCUGCCUGUAAGAUUGGGAUAACUAUCGGAAACGAUAGCUAAGACCAGAUAACUGGUUCUCUCGCAUGAGGGAAUCAUGAAACACGGGGUAACCUGUGGCUUACAGAUGGGCCUGCGGCGCAUUAGCUAGUUGGUAGGGUAACGGCCUACCAAGGCGACGAUGCGUAGCCGACCUGAGAGGGUGAUCGGCCACACUGGGACUGAGACACGGCCCAGACUCCUACGGGAGGCAGCAGUAGGGAAUCUUCCGCAAUGGACGCAAGUCUGACGGAGCAACGCCGCGUGAGUGAUGAAGGUUUUCGGAUCGUAAAGCUCUGUUGCCAGGGAAGAACGCCUAGGAGAGUAACUGCUCUUAGGGUGACGGUACCUGAGAAGAAAGCCCCGGCUAACUACGUGCCAGCAGCCGCGGUAAUACGUAGGGGGCAAGCGUUGUCCGGAAUUAUUGGGCGUAAAGCGCGCGCAGGCGGUCAUUUAAGUUUGGUGUUUAAGCCCGGGGCUCAACCCCGGAUCGCACUGAAAACUGGGUGACUUGAGUGCGGGAGAGGAAAGUGGAAUUCCACGUGUAGCGGUGAAAUGCGUAGAGAUGUGGAGGAACACCAGUGGCGAAGGCGACUUUCUGGACCGUAACNGACGCUGAGG